GCCCGGGUGGCGGAAUGGCUUACGCACAACACUUAAAAUGUUGCGGUCUUACGACCAUGUGGGUUCGAGUCCCACCCCGGGCACAA
RNAcentral lists this transfer RNA (86 nucleotides) under Parcubacteria group bacterium CG2_30_36_18. RNAcentral describes it as "tRNA-Leu". It matches the Rfam family "tRNA". From Rfam's summary of the family: Transfer RNA (tRNA) molecules are approximately 80 nucleotides in length. Their secondary structure includes four short double-helical elements and three loops (D, anti-codon, and T loops). Further hydrogen bonds mediate the characteristic L-shaped molecular structure. tRNAs have two regions of fundamental functional importance: the anti-codon, which is responsible for specific mRNA codon recognition, and the 3' end, to which the tRNAs corresponding amino acid is attached (by aminoacyl-tRNA synthetases). tRNAs cope with the degeneracy of the genetic code in two manners: having more than one tRNA (with a specific anti-codon) for a particular amino acid; and 'wobble' base-pairing, i.e. permitting non-standard base-pairing at the 3rd anti-codon position. RNAcentral also lists the same sequence under 1 other name. The record is from RNAcentral.